Molecule: ribosomal RNA, 541 nt
Filed under: uncultured bacterium
Lineage: Bacteria
Description: bacterial SSU rRNA
Rfam family: Bacterial small subunit ribosomal RNA
Source: RNAcentral
AACGCUGGCGGCGUGCUAACUACAUGCAUGUCGAACGCUUUUCUUUCACCGAGACUUGUCUCACCGAAAGAAAAGAGUGGCGAACGGGUGAGUAACACGUGGGUAACCUACCCUCGAGCGGGGGAUAACAUUUGGAAACAGGUGCUAAUACCGCAUAAUAACAGAAGAAGCAUUUCUUUUGUUUGAAAGUCGCAAUUGCGACACUCGAGGAUGGACCCGCGGUGCAUUAGCUAGUUGGUGGGGUAACGGCUCACCAAGGCCACGAUGCAUAGCCGACCUGAGAGGGUGAUCGGCCACACUGGGACUGAGACACGGCCCAGACUCCUACGGGAGGCAGCAGUAGGGAAUCUUCGGCAAUGGACGAAAGUCUGACCGAGCAACGCCGCGUGAGUGAAGAAGGUUUUCGGAUCGUAAAACUCUGUUGUUAGAGAAGAACAAGGGUGAGAGUGGAAAGUCCACCCCUUGACGGUAUCUAACCAGAAAGCCAACGGCUAACUACGUGCCAGCAAGCCGCGGUAAUACGUAGCGUGGCAAAGCGUUG